This 6906-nucleotide long non-coding RNA is filed under the name Ananas comosus (pineapple). Its description in RNAcentral is "long non-coding RNA (ACOM_LNC022263)". The record is from RNAcentral. Lineage: Eukaryota; Viridiplantae; Streptophyta; Magnoliopsida; Poales; Bromeliaceae.
AAAAUUAACAUUUUGGAGCCUUAACAUGAAAUAACCUCCAAAUACUCCAAAUUAAAUGAGCAAUAUGCUACUAAUGACUAUUAGAGGCUACUAGAACUCUUAAAGCUAAGGAUUAAGCCAAAUCCCAAAAGCUUACCCAUUGUGAACGCCGCGACGAAAACACGCCGCUCCAACGGGCGCACGAAGCUCGAUCCGUCGCUCCCAACGCGUUCACAAGCAUUCUUCUCGCCAACGCUGCGAAUUUGAGCGAGAAAUAUAGAGAGAUGAGAGAGAUCUCUAGAGAGAGAAAGGCAGGGUUCUCUCCUCCCUUUCAUGCGUGCGUGGUGUGUGGCCAUGGAGGCGGUGGUCGGUUGAAGGAGAAGAAGCUGCAUGCUUCUAAUUAAAGUCAACACCAACACUAUUCACUCCAGGCAACUUUAAAAUCUGAUAUCUUUCGCCGGAGCUCCCUGAAUAUCCGUUUGAGCUCAAAUCUGACAGUCAUAUUCGGUUUUACUUAAAGAGUCCAAAGAAAUUUUAAUAUUUCAGUUUCGACCCGUUUGGUACCGAAAACUGUGCCGAACUGUAAUCUUUAUCAGAUGGCUUUCGGAUUUUAUUUCUCACUCUACGGGUAUCAGAAAAAUAUGAAACUUAAAAUCUAGCCUCAUUAAAUAUUUCUGACAUCCCCGCCAAUUUCAUAAUUUUCGAGACUGUGUAUUUUCUGCUAAUUUAUCUGCCCCGUUAUCAACAGAAAAAUCCAGAUUCUUCUGUUUUCAUCCCGAUUUCAGCACAAGUCACUUCUGAUUAUGUUUUACUUCUCUAGAUCAAUAAAAUGUAUUCUCAUACUAUUUUUUUUAUUUAUAUUUUAUCUUUUAUAUUUAAAUCCGGUAUAUUACAUUACACCGCAACCUUACCGGAACCAUUCAAAUGGCUCUCCAACCAAAUGGACACCGUAACCUCAUGAUUUUAGAAGUCGCGUACCUUACACUCUCCCCUCCUAUAAAGGAGUUUCGUCCCGAAACUCAAACCACGCCUCAAUUCGGCUCCUGAGCAAUUUAGGGCGCUAAUGCACUUUUCUAGUUCGGAAUGGCUUUACCUCUUUGCAACUAUCCAAGAGGCCAACACGGAGGGUACAAUACCCAACUCGUACAACUUUGCAAGGCGCAUCUCAGCAGGUGCAUUACGUUCUCGUUAUUCUGGCAGCAGCGCAAGUCGAGGUCAACGGCUCUACGCACUCCAAAGUCAUUCGCCAACUGGCCACUAAGGCCAAACCACCUCCCUCGAGAACGGGAUACCCGCUAUCCUCAUGGUGUGGAGCUAUCAAGAACGCACCAAUAGUCAUAUGGUCCACCAUCACGACACAGCACACACGGGUAAGCCCUCUCGAAUCACCCGAAUGUCAACAAAGCGGCGCUCCGCCACUUUGGCUAUCCAAGAGUUCGUAUUUUCUCAUUCACGGACUCUUCAUCACUUUCACCAUCCUCUAGGGGUCACAUCCAAUUGAUCACAUAUCGCCUAGAAGCAAUAUCAUUGGUGCAUCGACCCACUGGCGAGUGCUCCAAUCUUCAACCAGACCCUUGCUCUACCGCGGGAUGGCACGCUUCGGCAAUCUCCAACUCAGCCCUUAAAAGAGCAUUAUCUCAAGCUCCAAUUCACUUAGGGGCAUCAACUUCAAUCCUCUACCUCUCGUGGCUUCCAAUAGCUCAAUGUCUCACGCGAGCAGUAUAUCCUCGAAUACCAUAUGCCACGACCAUCACCAACUCGUUCGUGCAAACGAAUCCACAUGAACAUCGUUCGUCAUUCUAGGCCACGCCCAUCACUGAGGCUACUCGCUCAACCACUUCAUCAAAUCAUAGGUGAACACAGGUCACCAAUCCUAGACUGUCGCUUAAACCAGUCUCAACUACGCGUAGUGUCUCUCGCUCACCAGUGUAGACCAAUUAUCACUACUGGGCGAAAUUCUUAUUGGAGAAUUCGCACACACUUCAACCAGGAGCAACUAGACCUCAAAACACGUCGAAUCCUUGGGUUGGGUCACUACCACAGAGGUGUAACCUUGAUCUCAUGAUCCACGUGUGUCAUUCCACGCUCCGAGUCUCAGCUUGGACUACCGCCUGACCAAAAUUCUGCCCUACAUUGGGCCGCUGUCUCUCACAGCUGACUGUGCCUGCCCAAUGGGCCAGGCUCCACAGUCCACAAAUGGUCCAGGCACACGAUCGUCCCCAAGCACUACUCGCCGUCGUCGUCUUAUACGACAUACUCUAUUGAGUUACACGUACCAUUACCGACUCCUAAGUGCCUAAGCACCUAGUAUGAGCCACCAGCCCUCACGAGUGAUCGUGGCCGCUUCACACUUAGCCCUGUCGAAGUGCUACUGCAAUUCACUCGACCGGCUGAAUCGAAACCGCACUUCACGUAAUUACACUCGAGCGCUCUACACGCUCUACUGCGUUCCAACUAGGUCAGCAUUAGGCAACCUUGCUAUGCAUACCACUACACGAGCAUGGACUCGCUGACCUCAACUUGAGGUACUACUCGGCUAACGUUCUCGUAUUCGGCAACUAUACGGCUACUCUCUUCAACAGUGAUUCCACUACUAGCAAUUUGCUAGUACGUCUAGCCCUCCAUCUACUCCAGCAAGCGUUACACCCUCACGCGCAAGCAUGCUCGGGUAUUUAACAUUGUCCGUCACUUUGGUCCUUACUACAUCGAUGCAUCGACGAUAGCAAGCGACCACACGACGAAUGCAUGCAAGGUCCUUCGACAAGGUCGCGUACUCACGACAUCUCGCUUGCCCGCCGCGAGCCUCCGUCGUCACUUCCUCACACUCGUUCUCUAGACCACUCUGUAGACUUCACAUCACAAACUGUCUCGGAGAGGAAGAGCUACCUCCUACAACGCGACCCUGCAAUCGACCGCACGAAUGCCUAUCUCACCACGCAACGCACACUACCGUGCUCGGUGAGAACUCCCACAAUCCCGCAUCUCAACACCGUAGCGUCUUCGGGGACAUCAGUUCCUGAAACGCAAACAUUUGUGUUAAUCAUCUUAACCCGUUAACUCGCGCGAUUACGAGAUAAACGACUCAACAUCGCAAAUUAGGCGGAGCACAAAGUUACUCGUUCUAACUCUUAGUGUCAUGUUGCCGGCCGCAACACAACCACUUCAAGUCAAGAAUUAAUACCACUGGAAUCCGUCUCUAGUAACUACUAGAAACAUACUAUCAACAACUUCAACCCAAUCGAACAACUCCCGCCACAACGCAUAGGUCACGUCACUCACGCACCUAUAGCCUUAAGGUUUCCGUCCUAGGGUCUCCUAGGUCAAUCUAGACUCUCUCUUUGCUUGCUUUAACUCGCUCUGAUACCAUUUUAUCUGUCACGCCCGGGACCGCUACCAAUUUGGUACGAUCCGGGCGCGUCGAACAGACGCCGAACGGACAGCACUCCCCUGUCCGCCCAAGGCUAAACAACAGGAUCAUGUACAACAAGUUCCCAGGAAAUCAACUUGAAUACAUACAUGAUCAAAACAAUAGCGGCACAACCAGUGCGAACAUUACAAGAGCAAGCAUCACAAGCGUAAACAAGUGAAUAAAAGAGAGAAUAUAACUAUCUAUUACAUCACAUUUGACAUUCAACAUUUAAUACAAUUGGUUACAUUUAAGCUUCCAAAAUGAAUACAUAUCAUAUCACAUAUAUAUAAUGCUAGCUAUCCAAAAUACAUCAUUGUAUCUAUAACCAUGCACAGAGGGUGCUCUAGUACAAUAGGAAAGCUCUACUAGCUAGCUAGGGCGCUACGCCCUUACCGCGAUCUACUGCCGGUCCGCUCAGUGUGUACCUGUACCCCAAAACCACACGGGGUGAGAACUAUAAAAAUAUAGUUCCCAGUGGGUUCGGCCGCCGACUCCGCCGAUCUUCCCACUAGGUCUAAGCUGGCACAGAUAGAUAGAUAGAGAGAUAGAAAGAUAUUGAACUGCAACUAUGAUCUAUUGUGCCAUCAAAUGCAAGCAAUGCAUGAAAUAUCAACUAGCAAUAAGCUACUAUCAAUGAUAAUAUGCUUCAACGAUGUAAUGAAUACAAAUACGACAUAGUUAUGCAUUCCACUAACAUAUACUAUGUCUAAUCAGGGUAUGAAUGCAAAUCCACUUAUACUAUUCAUGUCAUUACCCAAAUCCACUAGGUACACCCGCCCUUGUCUCAAAUCACGUAGGUGAAGGACUACUCCGCCUUGUUUCACCGCCCACAACUCUAACACUAUAGGUAAAGAGCUACCCGCUCCUCGCCCAACUCAUAAACUCAAAUGCCUAAGGGCAUGAGCUACCCCGACUCUUCGCUCCGACUCUAACUCAAAUCACAUAGGUCAAGAGCUACCCCGCUCAUAGGUCAAGACGCUACCCCGCGUCGUAGGUAAAGAGCUACCCCCCGCUCAUAGAGUAAAGAGCUACCCGCUCAUAGGUAAAGAGCUACCCCGCUCAAGGUCAAUAGUCCCGCUCAUAGGUAAAGAGCUACCCCGCUCAGUAGGUAGGGUAAAGAGCUAACCCGCUCAUAGGUAAGAGUACGCCCGCUCAUCAAGCGUCAAGAGCUACCCCGCUCGUAGGUAAAGAGCUACCCCGCUCAUAGGUAAAGAGCUACCUCGCUCAAAGGUAAAGAGCUACCCCGCUCAAAUCUCACAGGAGAAGAGCUACCCCGCCCUUCGCCCGACUCACUUCCCAGUCCAAUGGGUGGGGAGCUACCCCGCUCGUAUCCCACCCAAUGAGCUACCCCGCUCGUGUGACAACUGAGGAUACCCUGUCAACUAGGUUAACCAUCACUUGAUAUUCUACCUAUCCCUAGGUCCAUGUCAAGUGUUUCAACCAUAUCAAAUCUCAAUGCCACUCACCUAGGUCUAAGCAACUCUAGGUUCCACAACACUAGGUUUAAUGUCAACCUAUGUUUAACAACAUUAUAUUAAUGCCACUCGAUCUAUCCUAGGUUCACGACACUAGGUUUAGAUGCCACAUAAUCUCCAUAAUUAACAAUAGGUUAACAUUCAUUUCAUCUAGCAUAUAUGUUCUAUAAGGCCAACAUGCAUCAUAAUGCUAAUAUGCCAUAAUCAACUAGCAUGCAAUCCAUUCAUAAUGCUACGUGCAUACAAUCUCCAUUACACUAGUUCACAUGUCACUAGUUUCAUUGUCAAGUCCAAGUUCUUUAUUCUCUUAUCAUCAUAGGAUCUCAUGUCUCAACCUUAAUCAUCAUGCAUUCUAGAUUUAAGUGUCAAGUCUAUAAUACUACACAACUAGACAUGCAUUCAAGGAAAGUAGAAAUGUAACUAUACAUAUAUCCUAUAAUGCAUAAGAACCAUAUAUAUGAAAUAUGAUCAACUAUUUUACUCGGAGAUAGAAGGAAGCCCGAUUGCUUCGGAUAGACACCCCCCACCUUUUUACAGCGUUCCGAUUGCUCGUCGUCACUCGCAAUCGGCCUCCCGCGGCACACGCCGCUCGGCUUGACCCAAUCUGCGCGCGACCACCGAACGACCUCCGAUCCGCGAUCCGAAAAUUAAAGGUCUUCGGUUUCUUGUCACGAUGCUUCAAAUCCGUUUCCACGAUUUUACGACGUCGCCUCGGCCCUCCAGGCGGAAACGAAGUCUAAACGUCCGUUUCUUUAAUAACUUCGCACUGGCUCGACGAAUCGCCGAACCGUCGCUUCCAACGCGUUUAGUGACCUAUCGAUUAGGUUUACGGAGGGUCAAAUUAGAUCAAACCCUCAUAUUUUGAAAAUUAACAUUUUGGAGCCUUAACAUGAAAUAACCUCCAAAUACUCCAAAUUAAAUGGAGCAAUAUGCUACUAAUGACUAUUAGAGGCUACUAGAACUCUUAAAGCUAAGGAUUAAGCCAAAUCCCAAAAGCUUACCCCAUUGUGAACGCCGCGACGAAAACACGCCGCUCCAACGGGCGCACGAAAGCUCGAUCCGUCGCUCCCAACGCGUUCACAAGCAUCUUCUCCGCCAACGCUGCGAAUUUGAGCGAGAAAUAUAGAGAGAUGAGAGAGAUCUCUAGAGAGAGAAAGGAGGGUUUCUCUCCCCCUUUCAUGCGUGCGUGUGUGUGGCCAUGGAGGCGGUGGUCGGUUGAAGGAGAAGAAGCUGAUGCUUCUAAUUAAAGUCAACACCAACACUAUUCACUCCAGGCAACUUAAAAUCUGAUAUCUUUCGCCGGAGCUCCCUGAAUAUCCGUUUGAGCUCAAAUCUGACAGUCAUAUUCGGUUUUACUUAAAGAGUCCAAAGAAAUUUUAAUAUUUCAGUUUCGACCCCGUUUGGUCACCGAAAACUGUGCCGAACUGUAAUCUUUAUCAGAUGGCUUUCGGAUUUUAUUUCUCACUCUACGGGUAUCAGAAAAAUAUGAAACUUAAAAUCUAGCCUCAUUAAAAUAUUUCUGACAUCCCCGCCAAUUUUCAUAAUUUUCUGAGACUGUGUAUUUUCUGCUAAUUUAUCUGCCCCGUUAUCAACAGAAAAAUCCAGAUCUUCUGUUUUCAUCCCGAUUUCAGCACAAGUCACUUCUGACUUAUGUUUUACUUCUCUAGAUCCAAUAAAAUAGUAUCUCAUNUGCUAAUUUAUCUGCCCCGUUAUCAACAGAAAAAUCCAGAUCUUCUGUUUUCAUCCCGAUUUCAGCACAAGUCACUUCUGACUUAUGUUUUACUUCUCUAGAUCCAAUAAAAUAGUAUCUCAUACUAUUUUUUUUAUUUAUAUUUUAUCUUUAUAUUUAAAUCCGGUAUAUUACAUUACACCGCAACCUUACCGGAACCAUUCAAAUGGCUCUCCAACCAAAUGGACACCGUAACCUCAUGAUUUUAGAAGUCCGGUACCUUACAACUGAAGUCCCUUCAGAACCAAUACUAAACCCUAGUAUAGAUAACACAGAAGAGAGACGAGAUGACCCCAUGAUACUAGAAGCAUCUU